GUCUAUAGCCAUGCCACUCUGAACACUUGAUCUUGUCUGAUCUCAGAAGCUAAGCAGGGUCAGACCUGGUUAGUACCUGGAUGGGAGACCACCUAGAAAUACCAGGUGCUGUAGGCA
Molecule: ribosomal RNA, 117 nt
Filed under: Pteropus vampyrus (large flying fox)
Lineage: Eukaryota; Metazoa; Chordata; Mammalia; Chiroptera; Pteropodidae
Source: RNAcentral